RNAcentral lists this long non-coding RNA (9720 nucleotides) under Populus trichocarpa (black cottonwood). Its description in RNAcentral is "long non-coding RNA (PTRI_LNC002001)". The record is from RNAcentral. Lineage: Eukaryota; Viridiplantae; Streptophyta; Magnoliopsida; Malpighiales; Salicaceae.
CUGAUCAUUUAUUUCACCCGUGGGCAUAUUUGAGCCUGUAAUGGAUUUUUCAUCACUACUGUGAAUUCUUCCUUCUCAGACAAAUCAACAUCAUCUCCAUCCACAGCUUUCCACUCAAAUCUCCAAAUCAAAUUAGCUACAAAGUACUCCAAAUGAAGUAUUGCUAGACCAUAAGCAGGACAUAUUCUCCUCCCAGCCCCAAAUGGCAUCAUCUUUAUCUCUCUACUUCCUGUUAUAUCAAAUGUUUCCCCUCCACUACUUAGAAACCUUUCAGGCUUGAAUGCCAUAGGAUCCUCCCACACCUUCGGAUUCCACCCCAUCUCAGCCACCAUAAAAUUUAUAGUUCCAUCUUUUGGUACCACAUAUUUACCCAGCACUGCAUCUUCAGUCACCGCAUGUGGCAACACGAAAUGGCCUGGCGGGUGCCUCCUUAACCCUUCUAGAAUUAUUGCUUUUAGAUAUGGCAUCUUUUGCAAUUCCUCUUCUUUUAUAUUCUCUUCACCAUCUUGCACAACCCCUUUAAUCUCCAUGAAUAGCUUCUCUUGGAUUUGCGGGUACUUAACUAGAUUUGCCAUGAUCCAUUGCAACGCUGUUGAAGUAGUAUCUGUUCCUCCGUUGAGAAACUCUGAGGCACAGGACUGACCAUUUCCUCUUCAUUGAGCUUUCUUUUCUCUUCCGGAAGCUCCAAAGCCAGUAUGGUGUCAACAUAGCACAAAACAUACUCAUCUUCAUAGUCUUUCUUGUCCUCUUUACUUUUGUUUACCCUCUCUUCCUUGGCCUUCUUUCUUGCUCUUAUCAAUGGAAUCAAAACAUCUUCUUGGCACCUUCGAAGGGAAAACAACUCCCUCCAACGGUUGCGCAACACGAUCUUUGUCACUCCUGGCCAGAAAUUGAGUAUGUUGAACUUACUAAAAUUCACUAUCAUUUGUCGCUGAACUCCCAUAAUUUUUUUUAUCUGAUUUUCAUCAUGCUUGUCUCCAAAACACAUCAGGACUAAUAGACAAAACAUGGCAUAUUGAAAAUGUUCCAUUACACAAAUAGGACGACCGGCUUUCGCUUGAGAUUCGAAGCGAUUCUGGAGGAUUUGCAGAACCCAGUUGCGUGCAUGAGUGUAGGAUUUCACACGCGAUGGGUGGAGGAUUUCUGCUGUGAGGUUACGCCGCAGAAGUCGCCAUGUUGGACCGUAAAAGGAAGAACUAAUAUUAUGCUGAUUACUAGUUAAAAAUUUUCUCGUAGCAACAGCUGGUGGGCGGUCCGCAAAAACUGCGCCGCCAUGUAUUAAAGCCUCAUGAGCAAGGGUGCGAUCUGCAACGAAGAUAGCAGGGCGAGUGCCAAUACGGAGGGUAACCAUGGGGCCAAACUUGGCAUGGAGGGAUCGAAGGAUUGGCUCUAUCUUGAAGGCGGACAUGCGGAGCCAUAGUAAGUGGCCGAUGAAAGGAAAGGACAGGGGACCUGGAGGUAGGUUUUUAGAGGUUAAGAAAUUGUUGAAGAUAGUUUUCAAGAACAGAGAGACGGAAAUGGAGACAAGGAUAAGGAACCAACUUUCCAUACUGAAAAAAAUGAAGUGAUGAGUUUAGCAGUGGAAUGGACUCAGAGUGCGCGUGUAUAUACAUAGGCUAGCAAAUUGACUGAGUCUAAUUGUGGAUGCUUUUUUCGUUUCUUGUAGAUAGAAGAAUACAUCGUCUACUUUUUUUAAAAUGUUUUUUUGGACAAAAGCAGCAAAGACUCAAAAUGGGUGGAAUUCAUCGCUAGCUAGCUUGUUUGUUUUUAUGUACUACGUAUUGUAUUACGUCCUCAAUCGUGGCAGAGAGUUAUUAAGUGUUAAUUAUAUUAUUAUUAUAUAAAAGAAAUAAAGGUUUCACCGUAGCUAUUUUAUUACUUAUACUCUCACGUAUAACAUGUGGAAUCUAAUUAGUGAAUUUUUAAAAAGCUCUUAAUUUCAUCCCUGAAAUUUUAUCUUGUACAAUUGAGUCAUUUUGAAUUCAAAUUAGCAUUCAAUUACAUAUUUGUUUAGGAGGAAAAGUUAAAUUGAAAGAUAAAGGACUUAAGUGAAAAUGACAAUAAAAUUGAUGAUGACUUUGAAUUUUUUUAAAAAGUUCAUUUUAUUUUCCUGUUUUUUUAAGCUUUUAGGUGGUAACAGCACUUUAAUUUUUAAAAAUUCAAUUUUUUAUAUUAAAUUUUAUUUUUUUAUUUUUUAUUUUUUUUGCGGUGGAGAGGGAGGGGAUUGCCGAAUUCCAAUGUAGAGAAAGUUUCUUGGAAAUGAUUUUGACCACUAAAAUAGUUAAUUUUUGUGUCAAAUAGUUCUAUAUGAUGAGAGAAGCUAAAAAUUAGUGUUUUUUUUUUUUCAUUUUGAAAAUGUCUAAAAAACAUAUCUGAUCUCAGAAAGAUUUUUUUAUUUCAGAUUGAUUAUGGAUGUUUUCUAGGUAUCAUGGAUAAAAAAAGAGCUUCGGAAUUCCAUUUUAAAUCCUUUUUCAAAUCAAACUAAGCUACAGUAAUCUUCACCUACGUGCGUCCACCCAUUUUAAUUUUGCACAUGAAAUUUUCAAUUAAGAGUUUCAGAUUUCAAAGCUGAUCGUUUCAUUAAAAAAAAUAAAAUUGUCUUCAGAUUAAUUCCAUUGUACUUGUUCCAAUCUAGAUUACUUUACUGUCUUUGUUAGUUAUUAUAUUUGUUUGCAUAUCUUGUCAUUCGAUUGUCUUAAAUUACUAGUUACAUACCAUGCCACGCAAUAUAUUGCGGGCUUACUUUCUAUUUUCGUAAAAAAAAUUAGAUCCAAACAAUAGCAGGAUUCAAGCUAUUUAGCUCCAGCAUAAUUAAUGACUCAAGUCUAUUUUGGAUUCUACAGCAUGCAAGGCUCAAGGAUAAUUGUUUCUUAACAUGUCCAAGCGCCACUUGUAUGAUGCGAGUGCCCAGGCCCCAGACAGACAUCCCAAGCACGAUGUGUGCGCAGGGGAUGUGCCUAGCCCCCUAGCAGGAACCCAAGUGCCACGUGUCUCCACGUGGUUUUUCUUCGAUAAUAAUAACAAUUUUUUAAAAUUAAUUAAUGAUGAUAAUAAUAAUACUAAUAGUAAUUUUUAAUUUUACCUUUUAAAUCAAAUCUUUGGUUGGUUUCAAUAUUAAGAAUAAUUGUUUUCUAAUUUAGUAAUUAUUUUACUAAUAAUAUUGAUUAUUAUAAAAAUAAUAAUAUUUAUAACACAAAAAAUAAUAUUUUUAAUAUUAAUACUUUUGAUUAUAGUAAAAAAAAAUAAUAUUCAUAACACAAAUAAUACUAUUUUUAAUUUCAAGAAUAUUUAGAACAUAAAUAAUAAUAUUUUUUACAUUAAAAAUUUGAAUUAUUAUAAAAAUAAUAAUAUUAGAACAAGAAUAAUAAUAUCUUUUUGAGAUGAAUACUUUGUAUUCUAAGAAAAAUAAUAAUAUUGACAACGCAAAUUAUAAUAUUUUUUCUAUUAAUACUUAGAAUUAUUGAAUAUUUUUAAUGAUACUACGCCGCAGGCUCACUUUUUAUUUUUAUAAAAAAUACAAUAAAAAUUUAUAAUAUAAAUAAUAAUAUUUUCUUUCAAAUUUAUUAAUUAUUUUAUUAAUAAUAUUAAUUAUAAUAAAAAUAAUAAUAAUGGUAAAACAAAUAAUAAUAUUUAAAAUCUUAGGACCCAUGAACAUCGAGUCUUGAUGAAGGACCCAAUAAAAUUGGAUCCUUACGCUAGACCCAUUGAUCAUGGGUCAUGACAUCCAACCCAUUCCCCUUGAGUCCGGAACCAUGACCCAAGCGCCACUUGUCUCUAAUAGGGAGCGAUCAUGGCUCACCCAGCGCAGCACAAACGCCACGUGUGCGCUAAGGAGUGCCCAACUCAUAGGCAGGAGCACAAACGGCACGUGUGCACUGGGAUGUGCCCAGCCACCAGACAGGCAGCCCAAGCACCUCGUGUGCGCAUGGGUGUGCCCAACGCCCCUCCAGCUUGGCGCUUGGGUCCUGCAGGCUACAACCUCCACACAUGCCCCUACCAACAGUGCAGUCCACAAUGAAAAUACUCACAAUCUACAUUACCCGUGCUACAACAUAGAACAAUGUAAUCCAUAAUAAAUUCACUGAGAAUAAAUAAUAUUCAGUAUUAUAAUAAAACACUGAUAAAUUUAAGUCACAGUUAAUAAAAUCUCAAAGGUCAACAAUAUAGAUUUAUUUUCUAUCAAGAUUAAUUGACUAGUAGAUUGUAACAGGAGCGUGGCGUUCACGAAAGCAGUUCUCUUGGCAGUCAAGAACAGAACGCAUUUCAGUUUGCAGCACAAGCCACUCCAGAGAGAUAAAUUACUUUGGAUUUUGACGUUGAUGAAUUUUUGAGUUUUAGUAGUCUUCUACUAUAAACUCACACUAGUUUAGAUAAAUUAUAUGCAUAUAAGUACAAUAGAUGCUUUUUAUCAUUAAAAACAAACACAGACGCCACUUAUUUUUUUUAAAUAUUUUAUGAUAAUUAUUAUCCUUUUCUAUUAUAUAUAUAACAUAGACCUAGAAUAGCACCCCAUAAUUCUACUGUUAAAGCAAGAAAAAUGCUUCAAGUUUGCCAGAAACUAGGGAUCCAUUAAUUUCCUAGCUACUGCAACCCUGAGGAAAAACGAAUAAACAUUCACAAACAAAGAAUAACAUAAACAAAAAUAAUUAUGGUGGUAAUUAGCAUCCAAUAGAAUAUUGAUAUAAUGGAAUCAGAUUUAAACAAGAGGAGAAAUAUCACACAAACAUAGGAGCAUCCGACUUGAUAAGCUAGUAGAGUACUUACAUCAAGAGCUAUCGUCCAACUAAACAAAAUCAACCUUAUCUUUUAUAAUAAUAAUAAUAAUAAUAAUAAUAAUAAUAAUCAUAAACCUGAUCAUUUAUUUCAACCGUGGGCAUAUUUGAGCCUGUAAUGGAUUUUUCAUCACUACUGUGAAUUCUUCCUUCUCAGACAAAUCAACAUCAUCUCCAUCCACAGCUUUCCACUCAAAUCUCCAAAUCAAAUUAGCUACAAAGUACUCCAAAUGAAGUAUUGCUAGACCAUAAGCAGGACAUAUUCUCCUCCCAGCCCCAAAUGGCAUCAUCUUUAUCUCUCUACUUCCUGUUAUAUCAAAUGUUUCCCCUCCACUACUUAGAAACCUUUCAGGCUUGAAUGCCAUAGGAUCCUCCCACACCUUCGGAUUCCACCCCAUCUCAGCCACCAUAAAAUUUAUAGUUCCAUCUUUUGGUACCACAUAUUUACCCAGCACUGCAUCUUCAGUCACCGCAUGUGGCAACACGAAAUGGCCUGGCGGGUGCCUCCUUAACCCUUCUAGAAUUAUUGCUUUUAGAUAUGGCAUCUUUUGCAAUUCCUCUUCUUUUAUAUUCUCUUCACCAUCUUGCACAACCCCUUUAAUCUCCAUGAAUAGCUUCUCUUGGAUUUGCGGGUACUUAACUAGAUUUGCCAUGAUCCAUUGCAACGCUGUUGAAGUAGUAUCUGUUCCUCCGUUGAGAAACUCUGAGCACAGACUGACCAUUUCCUCUUCAUUGAGCUUUCUUUUCUCUUCCGGAAGCUCCAAAGCCAGUAUGGUGUCAACAUAGCACAAAACAUACUCAUCUUCAUAGUCUUUCUUGUCCUCUUUACUUUUGUUUACCCUCUCUUCCUUGGCCUUCUUUCUUGCUCUUAUCAAUGGAAUCAAAACAUCUUCUUGGCACCUUCGAAGGGAAAACAACUCCCUCCAACGGUUGCGCAACACGAUCUUUGUCACUCCUGGCCAGAAAUUGAGUAUGUUGAACUUACUAAAAUUCACUAUCAUUUGUCGCUGAACUCCCAUAAUUUUUUUUAUCUGAUUUUCAUCAUGCUUGUCUCCAAAACACAUCAGGACUAAUAGACAAAACAUGGCAUAUUGAAAAUGUUCCAUUACACAAAUAGGACGACCGGCUUUCGCUUGAGAUUCGAAGCGAUUCUGGAGGAUUUGCAGAACCCAGUUGCGUGCACGAGUGUAAGAUUUCACACGCGAUGGGUGGAGGAUUUCUGCUGUGAGGUUACGCCUCAGAAGUCGCCAUGUUGGACCGUAAAAGGAAGAACUAAUAUUAUGCUGAUUACUAGUUAAAAAUUUUCUCGUAGCAACAGCUGGUGGGCGGUCCGCAAAAACUGCGCCGCCAUGUAUUAAAGCCUCAUGAGCAAGGGUGCGAUCUGCAACGAAGAUAGCAGGGCGAGUGCCAAUACGGAGGGUAACCAUGGGGCCAAACUUGGCAUGGAGGGAUCGAAGGAUUGGCCCUAUCUUCAAGGCGGACGUGCGGAGCCAUAGUAAGUGGCCGAUGAAAGGAAAGGAUAGGGGACCUGGAGGUAGGUUUUUAGAGGUUAAGAAAUUGUUGAAGAUAAUUUUCAAUAAGAGAGAGAUGGAAAUGGAGACAAGGAUAAGGAACCAACUUUCCAUACUGAAAAAAAUGAAGUGAUGAGUUCAGCAGUGGAAUGGACUCAGAGUGCGCGUGUAUAUACAUAGGCUAGCAAAUUGACUGAGUCUAAUUGUGGAUGCUUUCUUCGUUUCUUGUAGAUAGAAGAAUACAUCGUCUACUUUUUUUUAAAUGUUUUUUGGACAAAAGCAGCAAAGACUCAAAAUGGAUGGAAUUCAUCGCUAGCUAGCUUGUUUGUUUUUAUGUACUACGUAUUGUAUUACGUCCUCAAUCGUGGCAGAGAGUUAUUAAGUGUUAAUUAUAUUAUUAUUAUAUAAAAGAAAUAAAGGUUUCACCGUAGCUAUUUUAUAAUUUAUACUCUCACGUAUAAAUGUGGAAUCUAAUAGUUAAUUUUUAAAAAGCUCUUAAUUUCAUAAGGACUUAAGUGAAAAUGACAGUAAAAUUGAUGGUGGUUUUGAAUUCUUUUUAAAAAGUUCAUUUUAUUCUCCAGUUCUUUUUAGCUUUUAGGUAGUACUAGCACUCUAAUUUUUAAAAAUUCAAUUUUUUAUAUCAAACUUUAUUUUUUUUAUUUUUUAUUUUUUUUGUGGUGGAGAGGGAGGGGAUUGCCGAAUUCCAAUAUAGAGAAAGUUUCUUGGGAAUGAUUUUGACCACUAAAAUGGUUAAUUUUUGUGUCAAAUAGUUCCAUAUGAUGAGAGGAGCUAAAAAUUAGUGUUUUUCUUUUUUCUACCUUGAAAGCAUCUAAAAAACAUAUCUGAUCUCGGAAAAGUUUUUUUAUUUCAGAUUGAUUAUGAAUGUUUUCUAGGUAUUAUGGAUAAAAAAUGAGCUUCAGAAUUCCAUUUUAAAUCCUUUUUCAAAUCAAACUAAGCUACAGUAAUCUUCACCUACGUGCGUCCACCCAUUUUAAUUUUAAUUUUGUGCGUCCACCCAUUUUAAUUUUAAUUUUGCACAUGAAAUUUUCAAUUAAAAUUUUCAGAUUUCAAAGCUGAUCGUUUCAUUAAAAAAAAAAUUGUCUUCAGAUUAAUUCCAUUGUACUUGUUCCAAUCUAGAUUACUUUACUGUCUUUGUUAGUUAUUAUAUUUGUUUGCAUAUCUUGUCAUUCGAAUGUCUUAAAUUACUAGUUACAUGCCAUGCCACGUAAUAUAUUACGGACUUACCUUUUAUUUUCAUAAAAAAUUAAAUCCAAACGAUAGCAAGAUUCAAGGCUAUUUGGGUUCAGCACAACCAAUGACCCAAGGCUAUUUUGGAUUUUAUAGCAUGUGAGGCCCAAGGAUAGUUAGUUUUUGGCAUGCCCAAGCGCCACUUGUGUGAUGCGGGUGCCCAGGCCCUAGACAAACAUCCCAAGCGCCACGUGUGCGCAGGGGGUGUGCCUAGCCCCCUAGCAGGAACCCAAGCGUCACGUGUCCCCACGUGGUUUUUCUUUGAUAAUAAUAACAAUUUUUUAAAAUUUAUUAAUGAUGAUAAUAAUAAUACUAAUAGUAAUUUUUAAUUUUACCUUUUAAAUCAAAUCUUUGGUUGGUUUCAAUAUUAAGAAUAAUUGUUUUCUAAUUUAGUAAUUAUUUUACUAAUAAUAUUGAUUAUUAUAAAAAUAAUAAUAUUUAUAACACAAAAAAUAACAUUUUUAAUAUUAAUACUUUUGAUUAUAGUAAAAAUAAUAUAUUCAUAACACAAAUAAUACUAUUUUUAAUUUCAAGAAUAUUUAGAAUAUAAAUAAUAAUAUUUUUUUAUAUUAAAAAUUUGAAUUAUUAUAAAAAUAAUAAUAUUGACAACGCAAAUUAUAAUAUUUUUUCUAUUAAUACUUAGAAUUAUUGAAUAUUUUUAAUAAUACUACGCCGCAGACUCACUUUUUAUUUUAUAAAAAAUACCAUAAAAAUUUAUAAUAUAAAUAAUAAUAUUUUCUUUCAAAUUUAUUAAUUAUUUUAUUAAUAAUAUUAAUUAUAAUAAAAAUAAUUAUAUUUGUAAAACAAAUAAUAAUAUUUAAAAUCCUAGGACCCAUGAACAUUCAGUCUUGAUGAAGGACCCAAUAGAAUUGGGUCUUUACGCUAGACCCAUUGAUCAUGGGUCAUGACAUCCAACCCAUGCCCCUUGAGUCCGGAACCAUUACCCAAGCGCCACUUGUCUCUAAUGGGGAGCGAUCAUGGCUCAUCCAGCGCAGCACAAGCGCCACAUGUGCGCUAAGAAGUGUCCAACUCAUAAGUAGGAGCCCAAGCGCCAUGUAUCUGCUGGGAUGUGUCCAGCCACCAGAUAGGUAGCUCAAGCGCCACGUGUGCGCAUGGGUGUGCCCAGCGCCCCUCCAGCUUGGCGCUUGGGUCCUGUAGGCUACAACCUCCACGCAUGCCCCCACCAACAGUGCAGUCCACAAUGAAAAUACUCACAAUCUACAAUACCCGUGCUACAACAUAGAACAAUGUAAUCCAUAGUAAAUUCAUUGACAAGGAAUAAUAUUCAGUAUUAUAAUAAAACACUGAUAAAUUUAAGUCACAGUUAAUAAAAUCUCAAAGCUUAACAAUAUAGAUUUAUUUUCUAUCCAGAUGAAUUGACUAGUAGAUUGUAACAGGAGCGUGGCGUUCACGACAAGCAGUUCUCUUGGCAGCCAAGAACAAACAAUGAAUUUCAAUUUGCAAGCAGUUCUCUUGGCAGUCAAGAACAGAACGCAUUUCAGUUUGCAGCACAAGCCACUAUAGAGAGAUAAAUUACUUUGGAUUUUGACGUUGAUGAAUUUUUGGGUUUUAGCGGUCUUCUACUAUAAACUCACACUAGUUUAGAUAAAUUAUAUGCAUAUAAGUACAAUUGAUGCUUUUUAUUAUUAAAAACAAACACAGAUGCCACUUAUUUUUUUUAAAAUAUUUUAUGAUAAUUAUUAUCUUUUUCUAUUAUAUAUAUAACAUAGACCUAGAAUAGCACCCCAUAAUUCUACUGUUAAAGCAAGAAAAAUGCUUCAAGUUUGCCAGAAACUAGGGAUCCAUUAAUUUCCUAGCUACUGCAACCCUGAGGAAAAACGAAUAAACAUUCACAAACAAAGAAUAACAUAAACAAAAAUAAUUAUGGUGGUAAUUAGCAUCCUAUAGAAUAUUGAUAUAAUGGCAUCAGAUUUAAACAAGAGGAGAAAUAUCACACAAACAUAGGAGCAUCCGACUUGAUAAGCUAGUAGAGUUACAUCUUACAUCAAGAGCUAUCGUCCAGCUAAACAAAAUCAACCUUAUCUUUUAUAAUAAUAAUAAUAAACCUGAUCAUUUAUUUCACCCGUGGGCAUAUUUGAGCCUGUAAUGGAUUUUUCAUCACUACUGUGAAUUCUUCCUUCUCAGACAAAUCAACAUCAUCUCCAUCCACAGCUUUCCACUCAAAUCUC